Molecule: unclassified non-coding RNA, 359 nt
Filed under: fungal sp.
Lineage: Eukaryota; Fungi
Description: partial internal transcribed spacer region
Rfam family: Eukaryotic small subunit ribosomal RNA (bases 1-46)
Source: RNAcentral
AAGUCGUAACAAGGUUUCCGUAGGUGAACCUGCGGAAGGAUCAUUAACACGUAUCCAAACGUUAAACCCCCCUGUGAACCUUCACCUGUACUCGUACGUCCGUUAGAAUUCAGGGACGUCUGCAAGGAGCGUGCAUGUUGUGCGAAGCAAGUGGCCUGGCAUCCCCAAGCAGUUAGUGUCUGAAAGUGUCAUUACCUGUGUAAGGAUGACGCAGUCACGAUCGUUGGAGGCCCACACGGCCGACGACCGGGUCGCUGGGCGCAAGCCCCCCUAUAACAAACCCCCUGCCAAUCGCGGCCGCGAUAAUACGCAGUCGACCAAAAACCGAACAACUGUUAACAAUGGAUAUCUUGGUUCUC